UACGUAGGGGGCAAGCGUUGUCCGGAAUCAUUGGGCGUAAAGAGCGUGUAGGCGGCCCGGUAAGUCCGCUGUGAAAGUCCAGGGCUCAACCCUGGGAUGCCGGUGGAUACUGUCGGGCUCGAGUCCGGAAGAGGAGUGUGGAAUUCCAGGUGUAGCGGUGAAAUGCGUAGAUAUCUGGAGGAACACCUGCGGCGAAGGCGGGUAGCUGGGCCGACACUGACGCUGAGGCGCGAAAGCCAGGGGAGCGAACGGG
Molecule: ribosomal RNA, 253 nt
Filed under: uncultured bacterium
Lineage: Bacteria
Description: partial 16S ribosomal RNA
Rfam family: Bacterial small subunit ribosomal RNA
Source: RNAcentral